This 1488-nucleotide ribosomal RNA is filed under the name Klebsiella sp. ok1_1_9_S20. RNAcentral describes it as "bacterial SSU rRNA". It matches the Rfam family "Bacterial small subunit ribosomal RNA". The record is from RNAcentral. Lineage: Bacteria; Pseudomonadati; Pseudomonadota; Gammaproteobacteria; Enterobacterales; Enterobacteriaceae.
GCUGGCGGCAGGCCUAACACAUGCAAGUCGAGCGGUAGCACAGAGAGCUUGCUCUCGGGUGACGAGCGGCGGACGGGUGAGUAAUGUCUGGGAAACUGCCUGAUGGAGGGGGAUAACUACUGGAAACGGUAGCUAAUACCGCAUAAUGUCGCAAGACCAAAGUGGGGGACCUUCGGGCCUCAUGCCAUCAGAUGUGCCCAGAUGGGAUUAGCUAGUAGGUGGGGUAACGGCUCACCUAGGCGACGAUCCCUAGCUGGUCUGAGAGGAUGACCAGCCACACUGGAACUGAGACACGGUCCAGACUCCUACGGGAGGCAGCAGUGGGGAAUAUUGCACAAUGGGCGCAAGCCUGAUGCAGCCAUGCCGCGUGUGUGAAGAAGGCCUUCGGGUUGUAAAGCACUUUCAGCGGGGAGGAAGGCGGUAAGGUUAAUAACCUCAUCGAUUGACGUUACCCGCAGAAGAAGCACCGGCUAACUCCGUGCCAGCAGCCGCGGUAAUACGGAGGGUGCAAGCGUUAAUCGGAAUUACUGGGCGUAAAGCGCACGCAGGCGGUCUGUCAAGUCGGAUGUGAAAUCCCCGGGCUCAACCUGGGAACUGCAUUCGAAACUGGCAGGCUAGAGUCUUGUAGAGGGGGGUAGAAUUCCAGGUGUAGCGGUGAAAUGCGUAGAGAUCUGGAGGAAUACCGGUGGCGAAGGCGGCCCCCUGGACAAAGACUGACGCUCAGGUGCGAAAGCGUGGGGAGCAAACAGGAUUAGAUACCCUGGUAGUCCACGCCGUAAACGAUGUCGAUUUGGAGGUUGUGCCCUUGAGGCGUGGCUUCCGGAGCUAACGCGUUAAAUCGACCGCCUGGGGAGUACGGCCGCAAGGUUAAAACUCAAAUGAAUUGACGGGGGCCCGCACAAGCGGUGGAGCAUGUGGUUUAAUUCGAUGCAACGCGAAGAACCUUACCUGGUCUUGACAUCCACAGAACUUUCCAGAGAUGGAUUGGUGCCUUCGGGAACUGUGAGACAGGUGCUGCAUGGCUGUCGUCAGCUCGUGUUGUGAAAUGUUGGGUUAAGUCCCGCAACGAGCGCAACCCUUAUCCUUUGUUGCCAGCGGUCCGGCCGGGAACUCAAAGGAGACUGCCAGUGAUAAACUGGAGGAAGGUGGGGAUGACGUCAAGUCAUCAUGGCCCUUACGACCAGGGCUACACACGUGCUACAAUGGCAUAUACAAAGAGAAGCGACCUCGCGAGAGCAAGCGGACCUCAUAAAGUAUGUCGUAGUCCGGAUUGGAGUCUGCAACUCGACUCCAUGAAGUCGGAAUCGCUAGUAAUCGUAGAUCAGAAUGCUACGGUGAAUACGUUCCCGGGCCUUGUACACACCGCCCGUCACACCAUGGGAGUGGGUUGCAAAAGAAGUAGGUAGCUUAACCUUCGGGAGGGCGCUUACCACUUUGUGAUUCAUGACUGGGGUGAAGUCGUAACAAGGUAACCGUAGGGGAACCUGC